Molecule: ribosomal RNA, 941 nt
Filed under: Triticum aestivum (bread wheat)
Lineage: Eukaryota; Viridiplantae; Streptophyta; Magnoliopsida; Poales; Poaceae
Description: partial small subunit ribosomal RNA
Source: RNAcentral
GAUGCGGGCGGGUCCUUGGCCGGCGGCGCUCGGGCAUCAAGCGGCCAUGGCCAUCUCUCUGAAGAAAAAUAGUAGAAGAAAGGGAAUCAAAUAAGAAUGUGGGCAAGACCUGCCGCAAAGACAAAAACAUGUCGGAAGAUCACAUACGAGCAAUUAAAGAGAAAACAACAACAUAUGCGUGCAUGCCCCAGCUCAGGAGAAGAGAGACACUGAGACACAGCCGGUAGCCUGGUACCAGCGAGGAAGGAACCAAAAAAAGGGCCGAGGCCCGGGCGUCGCUGCCCCGUUUGUUGUCGUCCCGGCAGCAGCCGUGCGGCCCGUGCCCGUCCCGCAGCUCCGGUGGCCUCACAUUAGCCGUACAUCGGACGACCUCGGCAGGACCGCUUGUCGGUGCAGAUCGGAGCAAUCCAGAAAAUAGAGUUGGGAAAUCACCGGGCCGGCCUCGUAGCAGCGCAGCCACCGGCGGGUCGUCAUAGACUCAUAGCACCGGCGGCCGCCCUUGGAGCGCAGCUCAGCACCGAGCGUAGCCACGGAAAUUGAAGCAUCACCGCAGCCUCGCGACACCUCCGUGGUUGUCGACGCUGUCAUAGCACGCCUCUCGCCGUGGCCCGUCGCCGCCUUGCAACAUCCCGCAGCGCCGCCGCCGCGAACUGCCAUCGUCCCGCAACCAUGGUGGCUGUCGCCUUGCAGCACUGUCAUCUCCCCCUCUCGCAGAAGAGCAUGGCGAGCUCCGGCGACCGGGCCGCGAGAGAGGCGAGCCUAUUAGGCAUGGUGCUGUUGAAGGAGGAGCGGCGAUUGAAAGAUAAAUGGUGGCACAGACGGCGCAAGGGGAAGAUGGAAUGGGGAUCGGGAAAGACGACCAGGCAAGAAGAUAAGGUCGUAUGGAGGCAGCGGUGGGUGGGGCUGCUGGACACGAGUCAUGUGCGCAGGGGGAAGCUGAU